Molecule: ribosomal RNA, 465 nt
Filed under: uncultured bacterium
Lineage: Bacteria
Description: partial 16S ribosomal RNA
Rfam family: Bacterial small subunit ribosomal RNA
Source: RNAcentral
GACGAACGCUGGCGGCGUGCUUAACACAUGCAAGUCGAACGGAAAGGCCCCUUUGGGGGUACUCGAGUGGCGAACGGGUGAGUAACACGUGAGUAACCUGCCCUUGACUUCGGGAUAACUUCAGGAAACUGGGGCUAAUACCGGAUAGGAAUCCUUGCUGCAUGGUGGGGGUUGGAAAGCUUCGGCGGUUUUGGAUGGACUCGCGGCUUAUCAGCUUGUUGGUGGGGUAGUGGCUUACCAAGGCUUUGACGGGUAGCCGGCCUGAGAGGGCGACCGGCCACAUUGAGACUGAGAUACGGCCCAGACUCCUACGGGAGGCAGCAGUGGGGAAUAUUGCACAAUGGGCGGAAGGCUGAUGCAGCAACGCCGCGUGCGGGAUGACGGCCUUCGGGUUGUAAACCGCGUUCAGCAGGGGCGAAGCUUGUGGUGACGGUACCUGCAGAAGAAGCACCGGCUAACUACGUG